AUUCAAAAGGAUGGCUCCUUGUCUCCAGUAAUACGAAGUAGUUUCUGAUUUGAGUGAGAAGAUGGAAACUGGGAGGGAAGUUGACAGUGCUCCUGCCAGCUGUUGGAGUGAUGCUGCAACACCCCAGCCAGGACUGACUGCUGGAAGAACAACAGAAAAGUUACCAUGGCACUGAGAGAACACUGAACUGCAUUUUGAAACAGGCUUCCUGGUCCAGCAGUACUGAAUAUAUGCUGAUACCUCAGACAAGGUUCUUCAAGGGUUAAGUCAACAGUGAUUGUCCCUUCCAGGAUGCCUGUAAAGUAUUUGCUGGUGGUGGUUGUAAUCGUUCUGUCCAAACGCACAGCCUGUCAGCUUCCCAUGACCUGCUCGGAGCUAGAGUGUGGAAAUCAGGACACCAGCUGCAUAUUCCUACUGGACCUUGGCUCUUCUUCAGCAAGCAUCACGCAGAGCUGUUAUUUUACCCAGUCAGCUUAUACACAUGUGGAGGAGCUGCUGACUUCGGUCACGGAGCUGUGUGCAGCUUGCAGGCCACCUGGGAUGCUUCUGGGCCAGAUCGGGUGGUGUGACUGGCCACAGGUCCAGGUGGCACAUCCACGGUGAAAAGCUUCAGAGAGAUCCCGGGCGCUGAAACACCAGGAGCACCCAGCCCAGCGCGCAGCUUUCUGCUCUGCGGGCCGAGUCCUCUCCGGCUCCCGAGCGCCUGCUCCCAGGAGAGGGCAGU
Molecule: non-coding RNA, 724 nt
Organism: Anas platyrhynchos (mallard)
Lineage: Eukaryota; Metazoa; Chordata; Aves; Anseriformes; Anatidae
Source: RefSeq, a predicted model, not a curated record